Molecule: ribosomal RNA, 250 nt
Filed under: uncultured prokaryote
Description: partial 16S ribosomal RNA
Rfam family: Bacterial small subunit ribosomal RNA
Source: RNAcentral
UACGUAGGGGGCGAGCGUUAUCCGGAAUCAUUGGGCGUAAAGAGUACGUAGGCGGGAGCUUAAGCACAGGGUUUAAGGCAAUGGCUUAACCACUGUAUGCCUUGUGAACUGGGCUUCUUGAGUGCAGGAGGGGAAAGCGGAAUUCCUAGUGUAGCGGUGAAAUGCGUAGAUAUUAGGAGGAACACCAGUGGCGAAGGCGGCUUUCUGGACUGUAACUGACGCUGAGGUACGAAAGCUAGGGGCGCGAACC